CCGCUCGCAGGGUUGCAGCUGUCCAGGCUGCGCAGCUCGCAGCGUCGCGACUAUCUAUUUUUGAACUUUCCUGGAAUGCGGAUCUCCAGCUUGCGGCUCACUUUCUCAAACUCGUCUGGUUGGCAGCUCGUACGCUGAUGGCUCUGCGGCUUGCCGACACUGAGCGAACUCUUCGGAGGCACUUUGCUAGCCGGCUCGUAGGCUCGUUGGGUGGAAGCUCUGGGGUGGAGGCUUGGAGGGAGGCUGCUCACUGGUUUGUACACAGCCUGGCCGAGGCCCGGUUGAAUGCAGCUCAGGGUCACAGCUCGGUGGUUGUCAGCUCGCAGACUUGCAGCUGAACACUGUCCUGAGUCACUGCUAACCAUGAAUCCUCCACCUGUGCGCUUCUAGCUGCAUUUAGCUGCCCUUCAAGCUCCAGGGACUAGGGCAAGAUUUCUGAGGGUGUACAACUGGUGGCUGGAGAGAGGUAAGUAUUAGCUGUGUGGUCUCCUCACUGUCAGAGGAGUUGUAUGCCACAUGGAUUCCCAGCUUGCUGCAUCUCGCUAUGUAUUAUGUAGAGAAAAAAAAGGUGAGUUUCAUGCUGAUUUGACACUCUUCAUGCUGUGGGUGUCUGAUUGAUAUUUUUAAGAUGUCAGCAGUCAAAGAAGCUCCCAAAAAUUGUCCUUUAAAGAAAACUAGAUCAGAUUCUGCCGUGUUAUUUUCUUUGUUUUCUUUCAGGAGAGAUGUUGAAUGACUCCAUAACUCCAGGACAGGAAAGUGUGAUGAGAGGGACAGAAGCGUGAACCCUGAGACGAUAAGAAACAGGAACGACAUUAUGGAGACACUAGUAUUCAUUACAUGGCAUAUAUAUGUAAAAAAAAAAAAAAAAAAAACCCCGUGAUUCAUGAGUGAAUCAAUUGAUCCUACAGACGAGAGAGAAAAGUCUCAGAAAAUGAGCCACAGCAUCAGGAUAUGAGAAAAAAUGAUGUAAACUGAUCCAGGACCAGCACAUGGCAUGUCUGACAACUGAAGCACACUGGCACAUGAGAUCCUUCAUGUUAAUAUGCAGUUCUGUGGCUCAAAUGCAAUUAUUUAUCUCUGAAUUGAUGUGUUUUCUAAGCUCUCUGCUCUCUUCAAGACACGCAAUAAUCAGAAGGAUCAGAUAAGGACAGGGAGCCAGAUGAAGGACAGCCCACAGGAUAGGAAUCCACAUUUAUGUAAGUAAGAUGUGGAAAGAAUACUUAUUGUAGUGACAUGGAAGAUGAGACCAAAAUAAGAUGUAAUUCUACUGUGUUAUUAUUUUGUGUGUCAUCUGCCCCACAACAACAGGCAUCCUCCAUCCAGUAGCUGUUCCUGCUUUAUCUCACAGAGCAUAGGUCUGCAAUUAGUGGCCCACGGGCCACAUGUGGCCCGCAAGCAAAAACAUCUGGCCCGUAAGAUUGUUUGAACUAGAGAAUGAAAAUAACAAAAUAAAUUAUACUUUUAAAAAAUCGGACUGACAGUCUCAAAAAGCUCUUUAUUUGGAAACUUCAUUUUUCAGAACAGAAACAUUUGAAUCCAUCUAAAUUCUUAUUUGUGAUACGAGGGUGAAUAAGCGCAUCAGCGAGGUGCAGCGUGGACGCUCAACAUGCAAAAACAAAUGACGUCAGCGGACAGCGCCUGGUGCUGAAAUUCUAGUCUCUAGAACACAAGUUGUCACUCAACUGCAUUAAUAAAACUGGCCAGGAUGAAUGCAUAGUUCUCUGUCCAUUCGUCAUGAAAGAUCCUGCCAUUUUUUCCACAGCUAAUAGCAACACGUGGAAAUGUGUGUGUGUGGGUUGGUUGUUUUUUAAUAAAUGUGCAGAUAACUAAUAGUGCCCCCAAUGGCCAGUCAGCAAAUUUUACCUACAUCAGCCUCAGUACGUCUGUUGUGUCAUUUCACGAGCGCCUAUCAUUUUCAUCCUCCCCUAUUAAUUCAAUAAAUUAACCAUUGUUUUGGUUGUGGCUCACCAUGUAAUGGCUUGGAAAAAAUCUGGCCCAUCAUAGAGGGACACAGGAGCUGGAGGACAUCAGUCCAUCACAGAGUGAGAGGAGCCCCAGGAUGAUCAAACAUGGAAGGAUCAGUCCAAGAUGAGAUGACGAAAAGCCCCAGACAGAAGAGUGAGACCCAGGAAAAGAAAGAACAGCAGCUCUGGUUAACUCCAAAGCUGGCGCAGGACCUCUGUUGCGCUUCCUUCACCCCUACCGGUCGAGGCAGAUGGCCGCCCUCCCUGAGCCUGGUUCUGUUGGAGGUUUUUCCCUCCCUGCUAUCAGAGAGUUUUUUUUCCUCCCCGCUGUCACCUCGUGCUUGCUCAAAGGGAAUCCAAAGAAAGCUGGAUUUGUUGGGUUUCUCUGUUGAUAAUUGUUUUGAUGAAACUGUCAAAAAGAGAGAACUUAAAAUAAGUCUGUUUCUUUUAAAGGUUUAUAUUAGGACACCUUCCUUUGAUCUUAUACGUUUAAGAAGCAUGUUUUAAUGGCUACAAACUCAAAACCUGAGAGCACAAUAAAACCACUGGUUACU
This is a long non-coding RNA of Acanthochromis polyacanthus (spiny chromis), 2518 nucleotides long. RefSeq lists it as uncharacterized. The transcript is spliced from 3 exons. NCBI's taxonomy places the organism in Eukaryota, Metazoa, Chordata, Actinopteri, Pomacentridae. The record is from RefSeq and is a predicted model, not a curated record.